This is a long non-coding RNA of Poecilia latipinna (sailfin molly), 744 nucleotides long. RefSeq lists it as uncharacterized. Lineage: Eukaryota; Metazoa; Chordata; Actinopteri; Cyprinodontiformes; Poeciliidae. The transcript is spliced from 3 exons. The record is from RefSeq and is a predicted model, not a curated record.
AGCAGGGGGAGUCUAGCGCUUGGUGAAGAGCACCGGAACUUCCUCCUCAGAUAAUAUUACACGCUGAAGCAGAAGUUACGUGUCUGGCUCUUUCGUUCAAAUAUUCCUCUUCUUCAGGUGUGAAUUUAUAUAUAAACAGAGCUGUAAAUUACUUUAUUAACGUUUGGGAAGCAUGGAAAUUAUCCAUAACCAACUUCAACUGACCUCAAGUGAGAUGCUGUAAAUGGAUUUAUGUUUUCCCUCUGCGCAUAUGCUGCUUGAAGCAAACCAGCUCUGCCUUGAUCAGCAUUUUUGUGAAAUGCUCUGAAGAUGGGGAACUCAUAAACAUGUGAUUCCAGCUUCCACACACCACAUUUCAAAGUGUCCUUGGACACGAUUCUGAAUCCCAUGUUACCCACCCAUCACCAAAUCGGUGUGUGACUGGGUGAUUUUGACUUGUAUUGUAAAAGUGCUUUGAGUUGUCAGUAAGGAUAGAAUAGCACUAUGUAAAUGUGGUCCAUUUAGUUGCUUUAAUAAAGUCUUGUAUUUCUCGUGUAUUCUUCUGUGAAACGAGAAGCUGAAGCUUUGUGAGGUUGUUCAAAUCAUCGUUGUGCCAGCAUCAGACUUUAAGAAUAUUUAAAUAUUCGGAUGCUGGCAGAAAAUAUUGUCAGAUAUUUUGUUUUAAUUACUUUGUUUAUUUUUAUUUUUUUUUAUUCUGUUAGAUUAUGACCAUCAAGUGUUUUUUGAGAAUAAAGUAAUAAACAU